GGGAACUACGAGCAUAAGCUUUAAACCCAAAGGACUUGGCGGUGCUUUAGACCCCCCUAGAGGAGCCUGUUCUAGAACCGAUAACCCCCGUUAGACCUCACCUUUUCUUGUAUUUUUUCCGCCUAUAUACCGCCGUCCUCAGCUUACCCUGUGAGGGAGAAAUAGUAAGCAAAACUGGUAAAACCCAAAACGCCAGGUCGAGGUGUAGCAUACGAAAAGGAAAGAAAUGGGCUACAUUUCCUUGCCCUAGGAAACACGAAUUGUGCUAUGAAAUAACACAUGAAGGUGGAUUUAGCAGUAAGCAGAAAACAGAGAGUUCCGCUGAAACCGGCCCUGAAGCGCGCACACACCGCCCGUCACUCUCCCCAAGUUCUUCAACAUUAAUAACUAAUACUCCACUAGAACAAAGGGGAGGCAAGUCGUAACAUGGUAAGUGUACCGGAAGGUGCGCUUGGAAAAAC
Molecule: ribosomal RNA, 461 nt
Filed under: Gambusia atrora
Lineage: Eukaryota; Metazoa; Chordata; Actinopteri; Cyprinodontiformes; Poeciliidae
Description: partial 12S ribosomal RNA
Rfam family: Bacterial small subunit ribosomal RNA
Source: RNAcentral